This is a long non-coding RNA of Solanum pennellii, 1488 nucleotides long. RefSeq lists it as uncharacterized. NCBI's taxonomy places the organism in Eukaryota, Viridiplantae, Streptophyta, Magnoliopsida, Solanales, Solanaceae. The transcript has 3 exons. The record is from RefSeq and is a predicted model, not a curated record.
UGGUGCAUUUUUGUUGUCCUUAAAUUGAUAGUUCAUUAAAAAGUAUUUCCUAAUUGAUCUUUCUUUGAACAAUUUGAUUUGGGUGUGUUGAUAUUUUUUUCUUUUCAUUUGGAUGUGUUGUUGAUGUUCAAUUUUGUUGUGCUUUUCAAUGAUUUCAAUUUUUUGCCUUUAAUUUGGGUUUUCUGUUGGAAUCAAAUUCUGGGUUUCUUCAUUUUAGUUGAUCUUCUUUCAUAACUUUUUUCUGUUCAUGUACGAAUUUUUUGUCAGAAUCAACUUUUUGAAUUUCUUCAUUUUAGUCUUAUAUUAUUGUGGGUUUAUGUUGGAGUUUCUUCACCUCAUAAAUUUGUUUUUGGCUCAAUAUAAAAAUCUUGAGAAAAUAUAGAUUCAAGCAUGCUGUGAAGUUUUGAUUUUUCACUUUUUUUUUUAUGUUAGUAUCAAUUUGAUUUCUCUCAUCUCACUCUAGCUGGUAUGUUGUUAUUUUCACAUUGUUUUGUUCAUGAGUUCAAUCUGGGUGUUUUCAUAUUUGGAGUUUUUUUCAAUUUGAGUUAGUUUUUCAUGUUCAAUUUUCGCUUUUGCUUAAAAGACCUCGAUAAUUUAAAGCUUCAAUUUUGAUUUUGUUGUUUCAUUUUUCAAUUCGCCCAUGUUGCAUCAAUGUUUUUUUGUCAUAUGCAAUAAUUAAUUGACUUUCUUUCUGUUCAUAUGAAUUUUUGAUGCAAUUAAACGAAAAAGUAAAUUUCAGGACAACUUUGAUUCCAAGCGAACCAUUUUUUUGUGUUAGAUUGGCAUUACCUAUGGCCACCAACAUUUCAUGGGAGCAUUUUAGAAAAGAUAUAAGAAUGAAGAGGUAUUAAAACUAAUCCAUCUAUAUUUUGUAUGUUUUUGUAUAUAUGUAAAUGGUGUGUAUCAAGUCAUUGUCAACUGAGUUGGCCUUUUUACAGAAAAGGAGAACACUAGAUUAUGAGGAGAAAGUUUGUGCACAAGCUAAUCAACUUGAAAAGCCGGUUGUGAGGAUAAAAGAGGAAGUUGAAAUGAAGAAAAAUGAGAAAAGAGACUUCGUUGAGCAUAAAGGUGAAAUCGAGAAUAAAAUUAUCUAAGUUAAAUUAGAAGGUUGACAAGGAUUGGAUUGUUGUUACUUCCCAUCUAACUGAAGCAAUAGAAGGAUGAUGCAACACAAAAGAAACCCAAUUUGCCUAGAACAUAGCACUAGCCUUACAUCUCGUACACCAAAACGACUAAAGGUCCAUGUGUCCAUUUUCUCCAAGGUUUCUCCUACUUCAUUUUUGCUGCAAUGCUGUUAUUCUUAGUGCAGAUGUUUUUAAAUAUAGUUAUAUUUUUCAUGAACUUCAUAUCUUAUGUAGUUUGUAGCUUGUGGAUAAGAAAUUUUUUCUUGGAUACUUUUAAAAUAUAGGCUAGCGAUGAUGUACAUAAUGAGGAACAUCAGAUUUUUCGCUAAAAUUAUAUAUUGUUCUGGUGUGUUAUACAUUUUCA